This 465-nucleotide ribosomal RNA is filed under the name Vreelandella stevensii. RNAcentral's name for it is "partial 16S ribosomal RNA". It matches the Rfam family "Bacterial small subunit ribosomal RNA", at positions 338 to 795 of the family's 1533-position model. The record is from RNAcentral. Lineage: Bacteria; Pseudomonadati; Pseudomonadota; Gammaproteobacteria; Oceanospirillales; Halomonadaceae.
CCUACGGGAGGCUGCAGUGGGGAAUAUUGGACAAUGGGGGGAACCCUGAUCCAGCCAUGCCGCGUGUGUGAAGAAGGCCCUCGGGUUGUAAAGCACUUUCAGUGAGGAAGAACGCCUGGUGGUUAAUACCCAUCAGGAAAGACAUCACUCACAGAAGAAGCACCGGCUAACUCCGUGCCAGCAGCCGCGGUAAUACGGAGGGUGCGAGCGUUAAUCGGAAUUACUGGGCGUAAAGCGCGCGUAGGUGGCUUGAUAAGCCGGUUGUGAAAGCCCCGGGCUCAACCUGGGAACGGCAUCCGGAACUGUCAAGCUAGAGUGCAGGAGAGGAAGGUAGAAUUCCCGGUGUAGCGGUGAAAUGCGUAGAGAUCGGGAGGAAUACCAGUGGCGAAGGCGGCCUUCUGGACUGCCACUGACACUGAGGUGCGAAAGCGUGGGUAGCAAACAGGAUUAGAUACCCCGGUAGUC